This 66-nucleotide transfer RNA is filed under the name Heterotermes tenuior. Its description in RNAcentral is "tRNA-Leu". Lineage: Eukaryota; Metazoa; Arthropoda; Insecta; Blattodea; Rhinotermitidae. The record is from RNAcentral.
UCUAACGUGGCAGAUAAGUGCGGUGGAUUUAAGCUCCAAACAUAAAACCUCGGGUUUUCAUUAGAA